GUGAGGACAAGGGAGAGUCAGUGCCAGAGGAGCUGCCUGCAAGAAACAUCAAGGAGGAAAGGAUCCUUUGUGACCUAGAAAAUGCUUUGGAGGGGCUGCUCUUUCAUUUUGCUUGCAGCAUGGAGGGAAAGCUAUCAUCAGUGGAAGGGCUGUGUGACCAGUGACUCUGUCAGCUACAGGAAGAAGUGGAGCCACGUGAGCACUGGGAGUUCUCAUCUGGAAUUGCACAACCAUCACUAACUCAAAGGGCCAUCAAUGCUGCAGAAAGCAAAGGAAAGGGGUUGGAAGUCUGACAUAGUGGUCUGUGAAAGAGGCAUUAAAUAGUUGAAAUCACACUUGAAAAUACAGGUGAAUCCAAAACCAAACAAAAAAAAAAACCCACCAAAGCAAACAAACCUGAGAAACAAGGCACACAAAAAUAAACCCCAAACCAAACCCCAAAAAGCUGAUAUGGAUUAUUGAUCACUCUGCAGGAUGUUGUCCAGUGGCUGUUCCAGCCACC
Zonotrichia albicollis (white-throated sparrow) is the source of this 502-nucleotide non-coding RNA. The record is from RefSeq and is a predicted model, not a curated record. NCBI's taxonomy places the organism in Eukaryota, Metazoa, Chordata, Aves, Passeriformes, Passerellidae.